UUGAUAUUAGUAUUACUAAUAGUACAUUAAAUUUAGAAUUUAAAAGAAAGCUUUGAGUCUUAUAAAACAAU
RNAcentral lists this transfer RNA (71 nucleotides) under Arisubathynella cheongmiensis. Its description in RNAcentral is "tRNA-Leu". Lineage: Eukaryota; Metazoa; Arthropoda; Malacostraca; Bathynellacea; Parabathynellidae. The record is from RNAcentral.